Molecule: unclassified non-coding RNA, 224 nt
Filed under: Hevea brasiliensis (rubber tree)
Lineage: Eukaryota; Viridiplantae; Streptophyta; Magnoliopsida; Malpighiales; Euphorbiaceae
Source: RNAcentral
CCACGCUUUCACUUCUGAUUUGUGUGAAAAUCUUAAUGAUACUGAAGACAUACAUGGCAUUUUUCUUUUGUUCUCCGUUGUCCUGUCCAUUCCUGGUAUAUUUCAUUUUAUAUUUUCAUGCAGAUUUGACAUAUAAGUGUGUGUAAUAUGUGUUAUAGAAGUGUUGAGUUUUAUUUAAUGGACACAUCCAACACGUCUAUAACACAUAUUACACACACUUAUAU